RNAcentral lists this ribosomal RNA (459 nucleotides) under uncultured bacterium. RNAcentral's name for it is "partial 16S ribosomal RNA". It matches the Rfam family "Bacterial small subunit ribosomal RNA", at positions 338 to 795 of the family's 1533-position model. The record is from RNAcentral.
CCUACGGUGGGCAGCAGUGAGGAAUAUUGGUCAAUGGGCGCGAGCCUGAACCAGCCAAGUCGCGUGAGGGAAGACGGUCCUAUGGAUUGUAAACCUCUUUUGUCGGGGAGCAAAAGCCGCCACGCGUGCCGUUCCGAGAGUACCCGAAGAAAAAGCAUCGGCUAACUCCGUGCCAGCAGUCGCGGUAAUACGGGGGGUGCGGGCGUUAUCCGGAUUUAUUGGGUUUAAAGGGUGCGCAGGCGGCAGAUCAAGUCAGCGGUAAAAUUGUGAGGCUCAACCUGUUCGAGCCGGUGAAACUGGUGUUCUUGAGUGAGCGAGAGGUAUGCGGAAUUCGUGGUGUAGCGGUGAAAUGCAUAGAUAUCACGCAGAACUCCGAUUGCGAAGGCAGCAUACCGGCGCUCAACUGACGCUCAUGCACGAAAGUGUGGGUAUCGAACAGGAUUAGAUACCCCUGUAGUC